GACGAACGCUGGCGGCGUGCCUAACACAUGCAAGUCGAACGAAGAGCGAUGGAAGCUUGCUUCUAUCAAUCUUAGUGGCGAACGGGUGAGUAACGCGUAAUCAACCUGCCCUUCAGAGGGGGACAACAGUGGGAAACGACUUCUAAUACCGCAUACGAUCUAAUCUCGGCAUCGAGGAUAGAUGAAAGGUGGUCUCUACAUGUAAGCUAUCACUGAAGGAGGGGUUUGCGUCUGAUUAGCUAGUUGGUGGGGUAAAGGCCCACCAAGGCGAAGAACAGUAGCCGGUCUGGGAGGAGGGACGGCCCACAUGGGAAUGGAGCCACGCCCAAAAUCCUACGGGGAGGAGCAGGGGGGGAACUUUCGGAAAGGAGGAAAGGCUGACCGGAGAACGCCGGGUGAGGGGAUGAGGCCUUCGGGUUGUAAAACUCUGUUAAUCGGGAAGGAAGGACUUCUUACGAAUAGUGAGAAGGAUUGACGGUACCGGAACAGAAAGCCACGGCUAACUACGUG
This 510-nucleotide ribosomal RNA is filed under the name uncultured bacterium. RNAcentral describes it as "partial 16S ribosomal RNA". It matches the Rfam family "Bacterial small subunit ribosomal RNA", at positions 28 to 507 of the family's 1533-position model. The record is from RNAcentral.